CAUUGCAAGAAGUCGAGGAUCAUGAAAGUCGACCUGAGUGCCACCCACUGUCCAACCUCUGAUGUCAAUGGAUGUAUCUUCAGAUUGAGGAGACGCGGGCCGAGCAGUAUAGCCAGGAUGAUAAAGCUGAUGGCAAAUCUCGCAAGUUAUAUCUCCCUUCUCAUCACACCAUUGUUGAACACAUUUUCUGUGUGCAUACUUCAAGCUGCCACUGCAACCACAAGGAAUCUCCAAAUUUUUCAAGCUAUCUUCUUCCUGACAAAUCCGACAUUCCACAGUCUGAAG
RNAcentral lists this unclassified non-coding RNA (285 nucleotides) under Hevea brasiliensis (rubber tree). Lineage: Eukaryota; Viridiplantae; Streptophyta; Magnoliopsida; Malpighiales; Euphorbiaceae. The record is from RNAcentral.